CCCUUAGACACUCUAGGCGGCACGCGCGCUACAAUGGGUGGAAGAACGUGUUACUGCCUCCGAAAGGAGGGGUGAAUCACGAAUUCUUGCCCGUGAAUGGGAUAGUUUGUUGCAAUUUUCGGACUUGAACUAGGAAUCCCUUGUAAACAUGCUCAAGAAUAGCGUGUUGAAUACGUCCCUGCCGUUUGUACACACCGCCCGUCGUUUCUUCCGACUGAUGCUCAUUGUGAGUUGCAAGGACCCUUUAUUGGGAAAUUGCUGCAAAUGCUUUGUAUUGGAGGAAGAAAAAGUCGUAACA
This 298-nucleotide ribosomal RNA is filed under the name uncultured eukaryote. Its description in RNAcentral is "partial 18S ribosomal RNA". It matches the Rfam family "Eukaryotic small subunit ribosomal RNA", at positions 1470 to 1796 of the family's 1831-position model. The record is from RNAcentral.